GCCAGACUCCUACGGGAGGCAGCAGUGGGGAAUAUUGCACAAUGGGGGGAACCCUGAUGCAGCGACGCCGCGUGAGUGAAGAAGUAUUUCGGUAUGUAAAGCUCUAUCAGCAGGGAAGAAAAACCGACCAUAGGGUCGCUAGACGGUACCUGAUUAAGAAGCCCCGGCUAACUACGUGCCAGCAGCCGCGGUAAUACGUAGGGGGCAAGCGUUAUCCGGAUUUACUGGGUGUAAAGGGGGCGCAGACGGCGCUGCAAGCCAGGGGUGAAAGGCCGGGGCCCAACCCCGGGACUGCUCUUGGAACUGCGUGGCUAGAGUGCAGGAGGGGCAGGCGGAAUUCCUGGUGUAGCGGUGAAAUGCGUAGAUAUCAGGAGGAACACCGGUGGCGAAGGCGGCCUGCUGGACUGCAACUGACGUUGAGGCCCGAAAGCGUGGGGAGCAAACAGGAUUAGAUACCCGGGUA
RNAcentral lists this ribosomal RNA (463 nucleotides) under uncultured bacterium. Its description in RNAcentral is "partial 16S ribosomal RNA". It matches the Rfam family "Bacterial small subunit ribosomal RNA", at positions 330 to 792 of the family's 1533-position model. The record is from RNAcentral.